RNAcentral lists this ribosomal RNA (267 nucleotides) under uncultured bacterium. Its description in RNAcentral is "partial 16S ribosomal RNA". It matches the Rfam family "Bacterial small subunit ribosomal RNA", at positions 793 to 1055 of the family's 1533-position model. The record is from RNAcentral.
GUCCUAGCCCUAAACGGUGCACGUUUGCUGUAAGAGGAAUCGACCCCUUUUGUGGCGAAGCUAACGCGUUAAACGUGCCGCCUGGGAAGUACGGUCGCAAGAUUAAAACUCAAAGAAAUUGACGGGGGCCUGCACAAGCGGUGGAGUAUGUGGCUUAAUUCGAUGCAACGCGAAGAACCUUACCUGGCCUUGACAUGUAGGUAGUAGAAGUGUGAAAGCACAACGAGGUAGCAAUACCAGCCUACACAGGUGCUGCAUGGCUGUCGU